This 516-nucleotide ribosomal RNA is filed under the name uncultured bacterium. Its description in RNAcentral is "bacterial SSU rRNA". It matches the Rfam family "Bacterial small subunit ribosomal RNA", at positions 9 to 526 of the family's 1533-position model. The record is from RNAcentral.
GAGUUUGAUCCUGGCUCAGGAUGAACGCUGGCGGCGUGCUUAACACAUGCAAGUCGAACGGGAAACCUAUUAUUGAAGCUUCGGCGGAUUUAGUUUGUUUCUAGUGGCGGACGGGUGAGUAACGCGUGGGUAACCUGCCCUAUACAGGGGGAUAACAACCAGAAAUGGUUGCUAAUACCGCAUAAGCGCACAGGACCGCAUGGUCCGGUGUGAAAAACUCCGGUGGUAUAAGAUGGACCCGCGUUGGAUUAGCUGGUUGGUAGGGUAACGGCCUACCAAGGCGACGAUGCGUAGCCGACCUGAGAGGGUGACCGGCCACAUUGGGACUGAGACACAGCCCAAACUCCUACGGGAGGCAGCAGUGGGGAAUAUUGCACAAUGGGCGAAAGCCUGAUGCAGCGACGCCGCGUGAGCGAAGAAGUAUUUCGGUAUGUAAAGCUCUAUCAGCAGGGAAGAUAAUGACAGUACCUGACUAAGAAGCACCGGCUAAAUACGUGCCAGCCGCCGCGGUAAUUC